Saccostrea echinata is the source of this 211-nucleotide long non-coding RNA. RefSeq lists it as uncharacterized. Lineage: Eukaryota; Metazoa; Mollusca; Bivalvia; Ostreida; Ostreidae. The record is from RefSeq and is a predicted model, not a curated record. The transcript is spliced from 3 exons.
AGAAGCAAAUUUCUUAUGAACAAUGCAGAGAGGAUAAAUGCACCCCCCUUAAAACCCCCCAGAAACUGGAGAAAUCAAGCCAAGAUGAAAAGCCAAAGCCUAAACAGUCUAAUAAAAGACCCAGACCGAGUUCUCCUUUCGCACCAAAUAAAAAGUGGAAGCCAUCCAAAGAUUUUUCAAGACAAGAGAAGAAAGUUAAAAGACUGACUAG